RNAcentral lists this ribosomal RNA (252 nucleotides) under uncultured bacterium. RNAcentral describes it as "partial 16S ribosomal RNA". It matches the Rfam family "Bacterial small subunit ribosomal RNA", at positions 524 to 776 of the family's 1533-position model. The record is from RNAcentral.
UACGUAGGUCCCGAGCGUUGUCCGGAUUUAUUGGGCGUAAAGCGAGCGCAGGUGGUUUAUUAAGUCUGGUGUAAAAGGCAGUGGCUCAACCAUUGUAUGCAUUGGGAGCUGGUAGACUUGAGUGCAGGAGAGGAGAGUGGAAUUCCAUGUGUAGCGGUGAAAUGCGUAGAUAUAUGGAGGAACACCGGUGGCGAAAGCGGCUCUCUGGCCUGUAACUGACGCUGAGGCACGAAAGCGUGGGGAUCAAACAGG